GAAUAUAAGACAGAGAAAGCCAUGGCUCCUCUCCUGUCUGAGAUCUCAUCCUCCUUUAGUUCCAUCAUUCCAUGCCUACCAAAGCCCAAGAAAACUCCCAGCUGAUGGGAAAUAAAACGACCCAAUCGUCUCCAAUCCCCAGUCUGCACCCGCUCCAGUGGCAUCUCAAGUAACUCCAACCCUUUUUGGUUAAAACCCAUCAAUAAUACCACAUCAAUUAGCUCCGAGACAAGUAGAAGAUGGCGUCCGGCAGCCGGCCGACGCAGUCAUCCGGCGCGAGCAACCUCCGGGGCGGCGGCAGUUCCCAUCCGUCGGAAUCGGUGAGCAAGGCGAUCGCCCAGUAUACCGUGGACGCCCGCCUCCACGCUGUCUUCGAGCAGUCCGGCGAGUCCGGCAAGUCCUUCAAUUACUCCCAGUCGGUGCGCACGGCGACGCCGUCGCAGUCGAUCCCGGAGCAGCAGAUCACGGCGUACCUCUCCAGGAUCCAGCGCGGUGGCCACAUCCAGCCAUUCGGUGCCACCGUCGCCGUCGACGAGCCCUCCUUCCGCCUUCUCGCCUUCUCCGAGAACGCCCCCGACCUCCUCGACCUCCCCCAGUCCGUCCCCUCCCUCGACCCCUUCUCCCCUCACCGCCGCCUCGCCCUCGGCUCCGACGUCCGCUCCCUCUUCACCCCGUCCUCCGCCGUCCUCCUCGACCGCGCCGCCUCCGCCCGCGAGAUCACCCUCCUCAACCCCCUCUGGAUCCACUCCCGCGCCUCUGGCAAGCCCUUCUACGCCAUCCUUCACAGAAUUGAUAUCGGAAUCGUCAUCGAUCUCGAGCCUGCGCGCCCCGAGGACCCUGCCCUCUCCAUCGCCGGCGCCGUACAGUCCCAGAAGCUCGCCGUCCGGGCAAUUUCGAGCCUCCAGUCUCUCCCCGGCGGCGAUAUUAAGCUCCUCUGCGAUACCGUCGUCGACCACGUCCGCCAGCUCACCGGCUACGACCGCGUCAUGGUGUAUAAGUUCCACGAGGACGAGCACGGGGAGGUCGUCGCCGAGAGCCGCCGCGACGACCUCGAGCCCUACCUCGGCCUCCACUACCCGGCCACCGACAUCCCCCAGGCCUCCCGCUUCCUCUUCAAGCAGAACCGCGUCCGGAUGAUCGUCGACUGCAACUCCACCCCCGUCCAGGUGAUUCAAGACGAGAGCUUGAUGCAGCCGCUCUGCCUCGUCGGCUCCACCCUCCGGGCGCCGCACGGCUGCCAUGCUCAGUACAUGGCCAACAUGGGCUCCAUCGCCUCCCUUGCCUUGGCCGUUGUCAUCAACGGCAGCGGCGACGACGACGGCAUAAACCGCAACGCCAUGAAGCUCUGGGGCCUCGUCGUUUGCCACCACACCUCCCCUCGCUCCAUCCCCUUUCCGCUCCGCUAUGCCUGCGAGUUCCUCAUGCAGGCCUUCGGCCUUCAGCUGAACAUGGAGCUCCAAUUGGCAGCGCAAUUAUCCGAGAAGCACAUCCUCAGGACCCAGACCCUGCUCUGCGAUAUGCUCCUCCGCGAAUCGCCUGCCGGAAUCGUCACCCAGAGCCCCAGCAUAAUGGACUUGGUGAAGUGUGACGGAGCUGCCCUCUACUAUCAGGGGAAGUACUGGCCGGUCGGUGUCACUCCAACAGAGGCUCAGAUAAAGGAUAUAGUGGAAUGGCUCUCGGCUUGUCAUGGGGACUCGACGGGGCUGAGCACCGACAGUUUGGCGGAUGCUGGCUAUCCGGGCGCGGCAGCACUCGGGGAUGCUGUCUGUGGGAUGGCUGUUGCCUAUAUCACUCCAAGAGACUUCUUGUUUUGGUUCAGGUCGCACACAGCGAAGGAGGUCAAGUGGGGUGGUGCAAAGCAUCACCCGGAGGACAAGGAUGAUGGGCAGAGGAUGCACCCUCGGUCAUCGUUUAAGGCAUUCUUGGAAGUGGUUAAGAGCAGGAGCUUGCCGUGGGAGAAUGCAGAGAUGGACGCCAUACACUCAUUGCAGCUCAUUCUGAGGGAUUCUUUUCGGGAAGCAGCGGAGGGGACAAGCAAUUCGAAGGCGAUGAUCAAUGGUCAGUUUGGGGACCUGGAGUUGCAAGGGAUAGAUGAGCUCAGCUCGGUUGCGAGGGAGAUGGUAAGGUUGAUAGAAACAGCAACUGCUCCCAUUUUUGCAGUUGAUGCAGAUGGACGUAUCAAUGGCUGGAACACAAAGAUUGCUGAAUUGACAGGGCUCCCUGUGGAGGAAGCUAUGGGCAAAUCACUGGUUAAGGAUCUUGUCUUCAAGGAGUCGGCCGAUGUUGUCGCUAAGCUUCUCUUCCGAGCCUUGAGAGGUGAAGAAGAUAAGAAUGUGGAGCUAAAGCUGAAGACUUUUGCCUUGCAACAAUCGAAGAAUGCUAUUUAUGUCAUAGUAAAUGCUUGUUCUAGUAGAGAUUACACAAACAAUAUCGUAGGUGUCUGUUUUGUUGGCCAGGAUGUUACUGGACAGAAAGUGGUCAUGGAUAAAUUCAUUCAGAUACAAGGUGAUUAUAAGGCUAUCGUACAUAGUCCUAACCCUCUGAUUCCCCCCAUAUUUGCUUCGGAUGAGAACACGUGUUGCUCAGAGUGGAACACAGCAAUGGAAAAGAUUACUGGUUGGUCAAGAGGGGAAAUGAUUGGAAAGCUUCUGGUUGGAGAAGUUUUUGGCAGCUGCUGUCGACUCAAAGGUCCAGAUGCUCUUACAAAAUUCAUGAUUGUCCUUCACAAUGCCAUUGGAGGGCAGGAAACAGACAAAUUCCCGUUUGCAUUCUUUGACAAGGAUGGCAAAUUUGUGCAGGCACUUCUGACAGCAAAUACAAGAAGUAAUAUGGAUGGCCAGAUUAUCGGAGGCUUUUGCUUCUUGCAGAUUGCUAGCCCUGAACUGCAGCAAGCUCUUGAAAUCCAGAGGCAGCAGGAAAAGAAAUGCUAUGCAAGAAUGAAAGAGCUGGCUUAUAUAUACCAAGAGAUAAAAAAUCCACUUAGCGGUAUUCGGUUCACAAACUCACUGUUGGAGAUGACAGACUUAACUGAUGAUCAGAAGCAGUUCCUUGAAACUAGUGCUUCUUGUGAGAGACAGAUGAUGAAGAUCAUAAAGGACGUGAAUCUACAAAGCAUUGAGGAUGGCUCAUUGAUCCUCGACAAAGGUGAAUUUCUGCUUGGAAGCGUUAUAAAUGCUGUUGUUAGCCAAGUGAUGAUUUUGCUGAGAGAAAGAGGUUUACAAUUAAUUCGGGAUAUUCCUGAAGAAAUAAAAAUAAUUUCUGUAUAUGGAGACCAAGUUAGAAUUCAGCAAGUCUUGGCUGAUUUUUUGCUGAAUAUGGUGCGGCAUGCACCAUCUCCAGAUGGGUGGGUGGAGAUCCAAGUGAGGCCAAGUUUGAAGCAGAAUGCUGAUGGAACAGAAGUGGUGCUUUUCCAAUUUAGGAUUGUUUGCCCAGGUGAUGGCCUUCCAGCAGAACUUGUGCAAGAUAUGUUCCAUAACUCCAGCUGGGUGACCCAGGAAGGCCUUGGUCUGAGCAUAUGCAGGAAGAUCCUAAAACUGAUGAAGGGGGAAGUCCAGUAUAUCAGGGAGUCAGAGAGAUGUUACUUCCUCAUCUUCAUGGAGCUUCCCAGUUGUUAUAUUGGUGAAAGCAGGGGGAACUAAUCCAGUCAGAGACAUGGAAUUCUCACUGGACUGAUAUUAUGCUAAGCUGCAGCUCUAGUAAAUGGUGCUUGGUUCUCUGGAGCUAUACUAGAUGAGCUAGGCCCAAAAACUGAGAGACAUCUGAAUAACUGCUUGGAAACUCUCCAGUCACGUUGGGAACUCCAUUAGAUGACUGGGGCACUGUUAAGAUCUUGGAUUCAGGAGAUGCAAGGGUACUAUAUGCUGUUGCUCCUGCAAAAAGGCCCGGCGUGCAGGAAAUAUGUAAGAGAAGAAAUAUAAUGGUGUCUUCUGCUGCUUUUUUUGGCAAAUUAUGUUGCCUUCUGCGGGGAUUAUUCCGGCGACCAAGCAAGUGCGCUUCCAGAUGUAAGUUGGUUAUCUUGCAAUCAAUUAUUACCUUAUUGUUGAAGCAAAUAGGUUCGUAGGUUUCAUGAGGUGGCUGCCCUGAAGUCCUUCCAAGAGGGAUUUGGCAUUGUCCACUUAGUUUAGCUGGAUUAUGCUGUGAGAUGCUUGCAGGUUAGAACAGGGUGCCCUUUCUGUUCCUUCAGCAUUUAUCGGAGCUUUUAAAACUGAAUUGCUAUUCUAUAGUUAGACUAUAUAACAGAAUUGCCCUUCCAUUAAAUUUUCAGAAUCUCACUUUUUACUUGGAAAAAGAAAAAAAAAAACAUUACUGUUAUUCUUUUGCUCUCUAUAUGCAUGCCAUGCACCAUCCAGCUUAUUGUUGAGAUUCACUGUUAAAUUCUAAUUCUAUUAGAAUUUCUAUUUAAGUAUUCAUUAAUUUUAAUAAUUUUAAGUUUUUAUUUUUAAUUUUAUUCUGCUUAGUUAUUCCUUCUAAAAUAAUUAUUUUUAUCCUUCAGUGGUUAACAAGUCUUAUUUUGUAGGAGUCUACUUAGUUAUGUUUUUCCUGUCCUUAAUCACGUGCAUCAUGCAUGUUCGGAACUAGUUACAAGAAAAAUACAGUGUGCUUGGCCAUAUGAAUUGUCUCCAUUAAUAGUAAAUUACGAGCAUCUAAACUAAUCAUAGCCUACUUUCUGCUACUAAGAAUUCACAAAGGGAGAUGCCGGAAUGCAUGAUCCAGGGGACAGGAAUCUUAGGAUAGCUUGCCAGCAGCAGCAAAUAUUAUCUUGAGGACGCAGCACGUAGAAGCGGAACAAACCUGAUUCUGUUUCAGCAUAUGGAUAUCAUCUCCCCAACUACAGAUGGCAAACGUAUGGAUAACACUGAAGAGACGUCUGAAAGCAUAAAGAAUGUAAAUGGACAAGGAGUAUUCUUCUGGACCACCGACUACCCAAGUCCAAGAAGGCAAUGAACAGUUGAACACAAGGAUGAGAAAAUGAUGAAAAACAUCAACAAAAAUAAACAAAGGCAAAAAUAUUGAAUCUUUUUAGGUGAAUUGGAAACUCCUGAAUUGCACUUAGAGAUGGCUUUUGGAAAACCAUAACAUACAACUAUACGAGCCAUGCAGCCUUUCGAGUGGACUAGCAUGGAGAAGGCUUUGAUCGAAGUAUUCAAAUCACAGAAACCACAAAGCCAGAAGCCACGGAUAUGUGCCCUGAUUCGAGCAUGGACAAUAUCAAUUUGAAUAAAAAUUUCUAGAAUAAAAAGUAUUAAGAGUACCAAUUGAAAAUAAUUUUUCUUUGAAACCCAUUUGAAAAUAGAUUUUUUAAAAUUUACUCCACAUAAUUCAUUUUCUGCAUGGAGAUGUCUUGUCAAAGAAUUGAGAAAUUGGCAUCUUGAACCUGAAAUAUAAACUUGCCUGCAAAUUACCACCUCAGUAGGACCAAAACACACUCUGGGAGUCUAUAAAUGAUCGACCUCGCCUUCGCAUUGUGCAACACAAAAUCUUGCUCCUCACAGCACGACUUGAAGCUCAUGAGGAGAUGACUAGCCUUGCUGUCACAAUCCAACUGUCUUUUCAAAUACCUCGUGGCAGAUUCUACAGGAGUACAAGUCAAUAGUAGAAUAAUCACUUUCCAUUUUGUACUGUGCACAUAAUUGGGAUGCACUGUGUAGCACUUACAAGUUGAAUAAAGUAGAUAGCCUGUUGCCAUAGAGCUAAGAGAUAUAUCUAUGAUGUAACUGUUAUUGGUAAAGCUCACACUAAAUGAUUAAAUAGUAUAUAAUGUUUCAUUGAAGUAUAAACAUUAUGCUUUUCCUGCAAAACUUUGGCGUAAGUGAAUUGCCAGAGUGAAAUGCAGUCUUUGCAGGUUAUUUGCAAGAUUUUUAACUUUCAAGAUAUACAAAAUUCAGCAGGGGAUCAAAGUUUGCGUGUUGGUUUUCAAGCAUGUCGGCAAAAUGUUGUCAGGUGAUGCAAGAUCACACUGUGGAAUAGGAUUAACUUAUGUCAGUGUAAUGAUGGCUACUUAUAUCUGUAAACAAAUCUUCUACUCCAUCUAAAGAAUCGAAUCCGCCCUUGUGGUAAUGUUUCUUGUA
RNA transcript from Phoenix dactylifera (date palm), 6068 nucleotides. It is a transcript of the gene named phytochrome D, with no coding region annotated. The record is from RefSeq and is a predicted model, not a curated record. NCBI's taxonomy places the organism in Eukaryota, Viridiplantae, Streptophyta, Magnoliopsida, Arecales, Arecaceae.